Long non-coding RNA from Armigeres subalbatus, 877 nucleotides. RefSeq lists it as uncharacterized. The record is from RefSeq and is a predicted model, not a curated record. The transcript is spliced from 3 exons. Lineage: Eukaryota; Metazoa; Arthropoda; Insecta; Diptera; Culicidae.
UCAGUACACUGUUUGUCUUAAUGACAAAUAUUUGUCAAGUCAGCCUGAUAUCCAUGUCGAUUUCUGGUCAGUCUGAUAGAUAUCCGGAUAAACUUGACAAAUAUUUGUCAUCAUGGCAAACAGUGUACUGAGGGCUUAAUUCGAUAGAUUAAACGUUUGAGCAAAAAAUAAAAUAAAUUCAGAUAAUAAAACUUACAUGAAGACUAUGUUUUUUUCAACCGCUGCCUAUAAUCGACGUAUUUUUUAUUCUCAAACACGUGUCUUUGCAGCAUUCUGACGUUUGACAAAUGCACUUCUCCGAAACUCGGUAAAGUUGAUGAUUUACCGAUUAAGAUCGCAAAACAUGUUGCCGAAUUUCAGUACUAAAUUUUAUUAACAGGUUUUCGGUUAUUACAUUUCAAAUAUUUCGGCGAAUCAAUAUUUUUUGACGACAUUCCGGUUAAAAAACAUUUUACGGAACAUGUUCGUUAAAUAAUUUCACCGAAAAAAAAUCUGGCGAUUAAGUGUGAAGGAGAAUUUCCUUGUUACGUAUCCCGGACACUUAAAGCUAUGUACCGGAACAAGUACAAGAGGACACGGGGCCAGCGGCAUAUUCCGGAAACGCGUUCCGAUGGAGCGUAAAGACCCAAUCAACAUUCGCCAUACCCAUUGUUUCAACAGCUGCGAAAACAGACACCAUCAAGAAUACCACCUACAUUGCAUUUUCUGACUGACACCUUCUGCGUUCCAGUUGUACUAGCUACGGACGAAUCUUUUUGAAUCGACUGGAGGAACACUGAUACAAGGAGAACCAAUUCUUUGCUUUUCUUCAGACUGCUUGUUGGUACCGCAGCCACUCAAGCUCUUCUCAGUUGGCCCCGGAACUGCAAAUACAGUA